Long non-coding RNA from Cebus imitator (Panamanian white-faced capuchin), 687 nucleotides. RefSeq lists it as uncharacterized. The record is from RefSeq and is a predicted model, not a curated record. NCBI's taxonomy places the organism in Eukaryota, Metazoa, Chordata, Mammalia, Primates, Cebidae. The transcript is spliced from 2 exons.
GUCUCAGACUCCUGGGCUCAAGCAAUCCUCCCACCCUAAUCUCCCAAAGUGGUGGGAUUAUAGACGUAAGCCACCAUUCAUGGCCAGUUUGAGUAAAGCUUAAAAUGUUAGGAGUGGAUCUCUUCCCCUAGCUAAUUAUUAUACUUAUUCUUGCACAUCUGCAGUUGUUAUUCUUCUUAACCUCCUUUGUCUGGAUGAUGGAAACCUUUCUUUAUCACUUUAGAGGCCACUAGCACCUCUAAAGCAUACAAGGGACCUUCUCUUCUGCAGAUGUCACCUCUCUGGUUUUUCUUGGCUUCUCAUUGACAGUCUAGUCAUCUGUGUCCCUCUGAGGGGAGCCACCUCCUCCUGCCCAGGACUUCCUGCUUGGACAGGUAGAGAGAGACAUUAGACCACCAUGAACCCCUCUAGAGAGCAUGUUGACCCAAGCAGCCCUGCAGGUGAGGGCUUUGAGCAAGCAUGGGAUGAGCAUUCUAGGCUUCCGCCCUAGAUCACAUACAUCCAGAGAGAGCCCUGAAAUACAGACUUCCAGAGGACAGAGGUCUUUGCCUAUUCAGGUCACCGAUAUAUAUAUAAAGCUCCUAGAAAAGUACCUGGCAGAUGGCAGGCCCUCAAAAAAUAUGUGUUGAAUGAAUAAAUAUUUGCUGACUGAAUAAAUGCUUCUGGGGCAAAAUGGCUCCCAAACCA